Molecule: microRNA precursor, 104 nt
Filed under: Camelina sativa (false flax)
Lineage: Eukaryota; Viridiplantae; Streptophyta; Magnoliopsida; Brassicales; Brassicaceae
Description: miR172c stem-loop (cas-MIR172c)
Gene: cas-MIR172c
Rfam family: mir-172 microRNA precursor family
About the family: mir-172 has been experimentally verified in Arabidopsis thaliana. This family is thought to target mRNAs coding for APETALA2-like transcription factors. The mature sequence is excised from the 3' arm of the hairpin.
Source: miRBase by way of RNAcentral
GUUGGAGCAUCAUCAAGAUUCACAAAUCAUCAAGUAUAUGUACAUUCGUAUGUACUAUGAUAAGAUUUUUGAUGUAUGUAUGAGAAUCUUGAUGAUGCUGCAGC